ACAGGAAUUACCUGGAAACAAGGGCUCUUGUUCAAGUGCAGAUUCUGACUCCAUAGUUCUGAGGUGGGACCCAAGAAUCUACAUUGCUAACAAGCUCCCAGGGGAUUCUGAU
RNAcentral lists this microRNA precursor (112 nucleotides) under Marmota monax (woodchuck). The record is from RNAcentral. Lineage: Eukaryota; Metazoa; Chordata; Mammalia; Rodentia; Sciuridae.